GUACCUACGGGGCGCAGCAGUGAGGAAUAUUGGUCAAUGGGCGGAAGCCUGAACCAGCCAAGUCGCGUGAGGGAAGAAGGCCCUGCGGGUCGCAGACCUCUUUGGACGGGGAGCAAGGCCGCCGACGUGUCGGCGGAAGGAGAGUACCCGUAGAACAAGCAUCGGCUAACUCCGUGCCAGCAGCCGCGGUAAUACGGAGGAUGCGAGCGUUAUCCGGAUUUAUUGGGCGUAAAGCGAGUGCAGGCGGUUCAAUAA
RNAcentral lists this ribosomal RNA (255 nucleotides) under uncultured bacterium. RNAcentral describes it as "partial 16S ribosomal RNA". It matches the Rfam family "Bacterial small subunit ribosomal RNA", at positions 333 to 586 of the family's 1533-position model. The record is from RNAcentral.